This 1193-nucleotide long non-coding RNA is filed under the name Homo sapiens (human). Its description in RNAcentral is "HSALNT0396333". The stretch from base 608 to 682 matches the Rfam family "Urothelial cancer associated 1 conserved region". Lineage: Eukaryota; Metazoa; Chordata; Mammalia; Primates; Hominidae. The record is from RNAcentral.
AAUCGACCCUGUGACAUUCUUCUGGACAAUGAGUCCCAUCAUCUCUCCACCAUGCACCUUGUGACUCCCUCCUCUGCUGACAACAGAUAACCACCUUUAACUCCUGUUUAGGUGGUCUUCUAUACGGACAUGCUUGACACUUGGUGCCAAAAUCUGGGCCAGGGGGACUCCUUCGUGAGACCGGCCCCCUGUCCUGGCCCUCAUUCCGUGAAGAGAUCCACCUGCGACCUCGGGUCCUCAGACCAGCCCAAGGAACAUCUCACCAAUUUCAAAUCGGAUCUCCUCGGCUUAGUGGCUGAAGACUGAUGCUGCCCGAUCGCCUCAGAAGCCCCUUGGACCAUCACAGAUGCCGAGCUUCGGGUAACUCUUACGGUGGAGGAUUCCCAGCCAUAUGAAGACACCCUAGCUGGACGAUCAGUCCUUGUCAAAAGUCUGACCCCUCAAACUCUACAGCCUCAAUGGACCAGACCCUACCCGGUCAUUUAUAGCACACCAACUGCCGUCCAUCUGCAGGACCCUCUCCAUUGGGUUCACCAUUCCAGAAUAAAGCCAUGCCCAUCAGACAGCCAGCUUGAUCUCUCCUCUUCCUCCUGGAAGCCACAAGAUUAGGCCGAGAGCCGAUCAGACAAACAACCUACAACCCUUAAGCUCCUGGCAGCGCCCAGCCAAGGCCAUGCUUCCUUGCAACACUCCUUCCAAAUGGCCAUCCCAGCAUGCUUCCAAGCAGGCUUCAUCCGUUCCUCUGGACCCUCAUCUCUUAAGACCUGCCGCCUAUAAAAAGGAUUAUAUCUUGAGACCCUAUCCUCUAAAAUUUUUUCCACACCCAAAACAAAAAAUCUCUGGGUCAAAAGUCUAAAACGCUUAGGCUGGCAACCAUCAGAUCCUUGCCCAUGGUGUCCUCAAGCCUACUCUCAUGAAAUGGACAACAGUACACGCAUAUGGGGCCAGUUCCACAUAUUUGGCAACCAGACCAGCAUCCAGGACAACACAAAGAUCUGCAAUCAGAACUAUUGAACUUCUCCAUUCAGACCGCCACUCACACCUAUGGGAAAAGGGUAAUGUAUCAUCGGCUUAGCAACAGGGAAUACUAUUCGUAUGAUGGAAAAUGGGGACAAAAGGCUUUGGUACAUAAAACAUUAUUCCUUCCUUGGCCUAAAAACUCAUCGCCACCUACAUUAAAGCUAAUAUGCCUG